UUACCGAGUUUACACUCCCCACCCCUGUGAACAUACCACUUGUUGCCUCGGCGGAUCAGCCCGCUCCCGGUAAAACGGGACGGCCCGCCAGAGGACCCCUAAACUCUGUUUCUAUAUGUAACUUCUGAGUAAAACCAUAAAUAAAUCAAAACUUUCAACAACGGAUCUCUUGGUUCUGGCAUCGAUGAAGAACGCAGCAAAAUGCGAUAAGUAAUGUGAAUUGCAGAAUUCAGUGAAUCAUCGAAUCUUUGAACGCACAUUGCGCCCGCCAGUAUUCUGGCGGGCAUGCCUGUUCGAGCGUCAUUUCAACCCUCAAGCACAGCUUGGUGUUGGGACUCGCGUUAAUUCGCGUUCCUCAAAUUGAUUGGCGGUCACGUCGAGCUUCCAUAGCGUAGUAGUAAAACCCUCGUUACUGGUAAUCGUCGCGGCCACGCCGUUAAACCCCAACUUCUGAAUGUUGACCUCGGAUCAGGUAGGAAUACCCGCUGAACUUAAGCAUAUCAUAAAGCGGAGGAA
RNAcentral lists this ribosomal RNA (516 nucleotides) under Fusarium cf. oxysporum HREF3. Its description in RNAcentral is "eukaryotic LSU rRNA". The stretch from base 150 to 303 matches the Rfam family "5.8S ribosomal RNA". Lineage: Eukaryota; Fungi; Ascomycota; Sordariomycetes; Hypocreales; Nectriaceae. The record is from RNAcentral.